This 497-nucleotide ribosomal RNA is filed under the name uncultured bacterium. RNAcentral describes it as "partial 16S ribosomal RNA". It matches the Rfam family "Bacterial small subunit ribosomal RNA", at positions 28 to 507 of the family's 1533-position model. The record is from RNAcentral.
GAUGAACGCUGGCGGCGUGCCUAAUACAUGCAAGUCGAGCGAACAGACGAGGAGCUUGCUCCUCUGAUGUUAGCGGCGGACGGGUGAGUAACACGUGGAUAACCUACCUAUAAGACUGGGAUAACUUCGGGAAACCGGAGCUAAUACCGGAUAACAUGUUGAACCGCAUGGUUCAACAGUGAAAGACGGUCUUGCUGUCACUUAUAGAUGGAUCCGCGCCGCAUUAGCUAGUUGGUAAGGUAACGGCUUACCAAGGCAACGAUGCGUAGCCGACCUGAGAGGGUGAUCGGCCACACUGGAACUGAGACACGGUCCAGACUCCUACGGGAGGCAGCAGUAGGGAAUCUUCCGCAAUGGGCGAAAGCCUGACGGAGCAACGCCGCGUGAGUGAAGAAGGUCUUCGGAUCGUAAAACUCUGUUAUUAGGGAAGAACAAAUGUGUAAGUAACUAUGCACGUCUUGACGGUACCUAAUCAGAAAGCCACGGCUAACCACGUG